CCAUCCAUCUCCCUCCCUGCAUGCCUCCCUCGCCGUCCUGCCUCUUUCUCCUGCCUCCUAUCGCCUCUUUCUGCUUCUCCAAGCAAAACGGAGGCGCCACACCAUCGUCUGUGGAUCCACAUGCUAAAGUCUGACCUAAAUACUUCAGGUUUUUGAUGAUUGGACCAAAACAGAGAUCAGAGGCGUCCGGCGGGCUUGUCGUGAUAGUGGAGGGAAGGGAGGGAGGCUGAGGAUCCGGACACACUCAAAGAGAGAUGCUGGUACUUACCACACUUCAUAACUGUACAACACGGAGCUCAUAAACCAGUCAAACCUUAUCCUCACAGACUGCUGAAUUCAUCAUCUUAAAUCUUACUCAAAGCCUUACCUUUCACCCUGCCGUGAGAUGAAAAAGCUGUAGCGUAUCAGCUCUGUGCCCUCCACCAAGCCACCACUAAUCCAGGCCCGGGCGGGAGGGGUCUGUCAUUCACAUGCUUGGAGGGGACACCAGAGAACCUUUGACCUUGGCUUGUGACCACACCUUGAGAUUGAAGAGCCAGUAAUGCAGCGAUGGCAGCCGGCCCACCAGUUAAUGAUCUGCUUCUUCCUUUUUCCAGCUUAAUACAGAUCCAUACUGCUCACCACCAUCGCAGCACUGACACAUGCACACACACACAUUGUCUUUGUACCAAACACACGCACGCACAUGAACACUGUUGGGGCAGGAAACAUAGAGGUCAAAGAACGCCUCACCAGUUUUCUAAGUGCACCCAUUCAUUUUUCAUUUAAUGAUGUGAGGGGAUGUGAAAGGUGUAAGCACCGUGAUGAAGUCCCCUUCAAUUCCACCGCCUGCUCCUCUGUCCUGCAGGACAAGAAAUAAGGACGGGCAGCUCUGACCAGAAGUUUUGAAACUCUUUCAAAAUGUUUCAGUCAGGAUGAAGUACUGCACUGCUUCCUCAGCUGAAUUUUAGUCAUCAGUGUUGAAAGAUGAAUUUUCUAGUUCAUCACAAAAGUAAUACAUUUAGCUGUUACACGAUAGUAGUGAGAUUUGUUUUGUACACAUCAAUGAAAUCAUGCAGAAGAAAGUUUGAAUUCCAGCACAAGACUUACCCAAUCCUUAACAAAGGUGUAAGAUCGAAACACUGCAUUUUAUUCAGUUGCAAAGACUGAAAAUGAUAAGUACAGAUAUUUUGGGGGGCCCUGGUGGGGGCAACAGCAAUGUUGCUAGGUACGCGCCCUACAUCUCUGACGCAAUAAAAUCCAAAAGGACACAGUAAACAUACUAUCAACGCAUCGAUGGGACGCACCCUAUUUUUUCCCUGACAAUGCUACAUUGUCAACAACAAAUGCGUGUGGAAAUCAUAUAAAUAAACUAAAGAAAUCUUGCUGUCAAAAAACUUG
Siniperca chuatsi (mandarin fish) is the source of this 1380-nucleotide long non-coding RNA. RefSeq lists it as uncharacterized. The transcript is spliced from 2 exons. The record is from RefSeq and is a predicted model, not a curated record. NCBI's taxonomy places the organism in Eukaryota, Metazoa, Chordata, Actinopteri, Centrarchiformes, Sinipercidae.